CCUACGGGGGGCAGCAGUGGGGAAUAUUGGACAAUGGGCGAAAGCCUGACCCAGCCAUGCCGCGUGUGUGAAGAAGGCCUUCGGGUUGUAAAGCACUUUCAGUGGGGAAGAAAGCCUUGGGGCUAAUACCCUCGAGGAAGGACAUCACCCACAGAAGAAGCACCGGCUAACUCCGUGCCAGCAGCCGCGGUAAUACGGAGGGUGCGAGCGUUAAUCGGAAUUACUGGGCGUAAAGCGCGCGUAGGCGGUCUGAUAAGCCGGUUGUGAAAGCCCCGGGCUCAACCUGGGAACGGCAUCCGGAACUGUCAGGCUAGAGUGCAGGAGAGGAAGGUAGAAUUCCCGGUGUAGCGGUGAAAUGCGUAGAGAUCGGGAGGAAUACCAGUGGCGAAGGCGGCCUUCUGGACUGACACUGACGCUGAGGUGCGAAAGCGUGGGUAGCAAACAGGAUUAGAUACCCCAGUAGUC
Molecule: ribosomal RNA, 465 nt
Filed under: Vreelandella stevensii
Lineage: Bacteria; Pseudomonadati; Pseudomonadota; Gammaproteobacteria; Oceanospirillales; Halomonadaceae
Description: partial 16S ribosomal RNA
Rfam family: Bacterial small subunit ribosomal RNA
Source: RNAcentral